UACGGAGGGAGCUAGCGUUGUUCGGAAUUACUGGGCGUAAAGCGCACGUAGGCGGCUUUGUAAGUUAGAGGUGAAAGCCCGGGGCUCAACCCCAGAAUUGCCUUUAAGACUGCAUCGCUUGAAUCCAGGAGAGGUGAGUGGAAUUCCGAGUGUAGAGGUGAAAUUCGUAGAUAUUCGGAAGAACACCAGUGGCGAAGGCGGCUCACUGGACUGGUAUUGACGCUGAGGUGCGAAAGCGUGGGGAGCAAACAGG
This 253-nucleotide ribosomal RNA is filed under the name uncultured bacterium. Its description in RNAcentral is "partial 16S ribosomal RNA". It matches the Rfam family "Bacterial small subunit ribosomal RNA", at positions 524 to 776 of the family's 1533-position model. The record is from RNAcentral.